CACGGGUGAGUAACACGUGGAUAACCUGCCCUGGAGACUGGGAUAACCCGUCGAAAGACGGACUAAUACCAGAUAAGGACCACGGACAGUUCGCUGUCCGAGGUAAAAGGUGGCCUCUGCUCCUGCAAGCGUAUCACUCCGGGAGGGGUCCGCGGCCUAUCAGCUAGUUGGCGGGUAAUGGCCCACCAAGGCAAAGACGGGUAGCUGGUCUGAGAGGAUGGUCAGCCACACUGGGACUGAGACACGGCUCAGAGUCCUACGGGAUGCAGCAGUCAGGAAUAUUGCGCAAUGGAGGAAACUCUGACGCAGCGACGCCGCGUGGGUGAUGAAGGCCUUCGGGUCGUAAAGCCCUGUCGGAGGGAAAGAAAAGCUCGCUGGCUAAUAUCCAGCGAGCCCUUGACGGUACCCUCAAAGGAAGCACCGGCUAACUCCGUGCCAGCAGCCGCGGUAA
RNAcentral lists this ribosomal RNA (451 nucleotides) under uncultured delta proteobacterium. RNAcentral describes it as "bacterial SSU rRNA". It matches the Rfam family "Bacterial small subunit ribosomal RNA", at positions 100 to 523 of the family's 1533-position model. The record is from RNAcentral. Lineage: Bacteria; Deltaproteobacteria.